GACGAACGCUGGCGGCGUGCUUAACACAUGCAAGUCGAACGGACAGGCCCUGCUUUUGUGGGGUGCUCGAGUGGGGCACGGGUGAGUAAAACGUGAGUAUACUGCCCUUGACUUUGGGAUAAAUUCAGGAGACUGGGGCUAUUACAGGAUAGGAGCUCCUGCUGCAUGGUGGGGGUUGGAAAGUUUCGGCGGUUGGGGAUGGACUCGCGGCUUAUCAGCUUGUUGGUGAGGUAGUGGCUUACCAAGGCUUUGAAGGGUAGGCGGCGUGAGAGGGGGACCAGCCACAAGGGUACUGAGAGACGGAGCAGACUCCUACGGGACGCAGCAGUGGGGAAUAUUACACAAUGAGCGGAAGCCUGAUGCAGCAACGCCGCGUGCGGGAUGACGGCCUUCUGGUUGUGAACCGCUGUCUCCUGUGACGAAGCGUGAGUGACGGUAAUGGGUAAAAAAGCACCGGCUAACUACGUG
This 468-nucleotide ribosomal RNA is filed under the name uncultured bacterium. RNAcentral's name for it is "partial 16S ribosomal RNA". It matches the Rfam family "Bacterial small subunit ribosomal RNA", at positions 28 to 507 of the family's 1533-position model. The record is from RNAcentral.